GACGAACGCUGGCGGCGUGCUUAACACAUGCAAGUCGAACGAGUGGCGAACGGGUGAGUAAUACGUGGGUAACCCGCCCUCUUUAUGGGAUAAGCCUCGGAAACCGGGACCAAUACCCAAUUAAGUAGGAUGGGCUCGCGGCCUAGCAGCUUGUUGGGGGGGUGAUGGCCAAAGAAGGCGGUGACGGGUAGCCGGCCUGAGAGGGUGACCGGCCACAUUGGGACGUAGAGACUGCCCAGAGUCGUACGGGAGGCAGCAGUUGGGGAUAUUGCACAAUGUGCGAAAGCCUGAGGCAGGUACGCCGCGUGGGGGAUGAGGGCUUUCGGGUUGUAUACCUCUUUCGCAAUCGAACGGGGAGGUGGGGAAGAAGCGCCGGCUAACUACGUGCCAGCAGCCGCGGUAAUAC
RNAcentral lists this ribosomal RNA (406 nucleotides) under uncultured bacterium. Its description in RNAcentral is "partial 16S ribosomal RNA". It matches the Rfam family "Bacterial small subunit ribosomal RNA", at positions 28 to 526 of the family's 1533-position model. The record is from RNAcentral.